GACGAACGCUGGCGGCGUGCUUAACACAUGCAAGUCGAACGGAAAGGCCCUGCUUUUGUGGGGUGCUCGAGUGGCGAACGGGUGAGUAACACGUGAGUAACCUGCCCUUGACUUUGGGAUAACUUCAGGAAACUGGGGCUAAUACCGGAUAGGAGCUCCUGCUGCAUGGUGGGGGUUGGAAAGUUUCGGCGGUUGGGGAUGGACUCGCGGCUUAUCAGCUUGUUGGUGGGGUAGUGGCUUACCAAGGCUUUGACGGGUAGCCGGCCUGAGAGGGCGACCGGCCACAUUGGGACUGAGAUACGGCCCAGACUCCUACGGGAGGCAGCAGUGGGGAAUAUUGCACAAUGGGCGGAAGCCUGAUGCAGCAACGCCGCGUGCGGGAUGACGGCCUUCGGGUUGUAAACCGCUUUCGCCUGUGACGAAGCGUGAGUGACGGUAAUGGGUAAAGAAGCACCGGCUAACUACGUGCCAGCAGCCGCGGUGAUACGUAGGGUGCGAGCGUUGUCCGGAUUUAUUGGGCGUAAAGGGCUCGUAGGUGGUUGAUCGCGUCGGAAGUGUAAUCUUGGGGCUUAACCCUGAGCGUGCUUUCGAUACGGGUUGACUUGAGGAAGGUAGGGGAGAAUGGAAUUCCUGGUGGAGCGGUGGAAUGCGCAGAUAUCAGGAGGAACACCAGUGGCGAAGGUGGUUCUCUGGGCCUUUCCUGACGCUGAGGAGCGAAAGCGUGGGGAGCGAACAGGCUUAGAUACCCUGGUAGUCCACGCUGUAAACGGUGGGUACUAGGUGUGGGGUCCAUUCCACGGGUUCCGUGCCGUAGCUAACGCUUUAAGUACCCCGCCUGGGGAGUACGGCCGCAAGGCUAAAACUCAAAGGAGUUGACGGGGCCCCGCACAAGCGGCGGAGCAUGCGGAUUAAUUCGAUGCAACGCGUAGAACCUUACCUGGGUUUGACAUGGAUCGGGAGUGCUCAGAGAUGGGUGUGCCUCUUUUGGGGUCGGUUCACAGGUGGUGCAUGGCUGUCGUCAGCUCGUGUCGUGAGAUGUUGGGUUAAGUCCCGCAACGAGCGCAACCCUUGUUCACUGUUGCCAGCACGUUAUGGUGGGGACUCAGUGGAGACCGCCGGGGUCAACUCGGAGGAAGGUGGGGAUGACGUCAAGUCAUCAUGCCCCUUAUGUCCAGGGCUUCACGCAUGCUACAAUGGCUGGUACAGAGAGUGGCGAGCCUGUGAGGGUGAGCGAAUCUCGGAAAGCCGGUCUCAGUUCGGAUUGGGGUCUGCAACUCGACCUCAUGAAGUCGGAGUCGCUAGUAAUCGCAGAUCAGCAACGCUGCGGUGAAUACGUUCCCGGGGCU
This 1346-nucleotide ribosomal RNA is filed under the name uncultured bacterium. RNAcentral describes it as "partial 16S ribosomal RNA". It matches the Rfam family "Bacterial small subunit ribosomal RNA", at positions 28 to 1381 of the family's 1533-position model. The record is from RNAcentral.